GAAUGCAUCUGUGCUGAGUCAUCCUGACUAGAAUCAAUCAGGUGAGGGUGGGCUAGGAGUGAGCUCUAGGCCAAGGGAGUCAGAGACCCUUCUAUGGUUAUUUUCCUAGUUAUUCAAAGACCAACGUAGGUGCUGUUGUGAAGGGACUUUGCUGGUAUAAUUAAAGUCCCUGAUGAGUUAACUUCAUGCUGGUCAAAGGGGAGAUUACCCUGGGCAGGCCUGACUUUAGCAGUUGCAAGGCCUUUAAGGAAAGAGGGGUUAGUCUUUCUCCUGGGAGCUUAGAGAUUGACAACAGCUGCUGUGUCUGCAAUCUCUCCUUUCCCUUGGGUCCUUCUUUCUGGCAACCACCAGGGGUGGGUGCCCAGCUUCAGCUCUAGGGGUUCCAGCCUGCCCACUCCCUUCCUGACCACUUCCCUGGGGACUUCACACUUACUUAGCCAGCUCCCACAACAGGGUUACACUUGACUUGUGCAUAUAAAGCAUGUGGAAACAAGAACUGAAAUCUAAUAACUCCAAGAGCAAGAAUGAAAUGUGACGAUGUUUUCAGGAUUGAAAAUGGGGAAGGAAAUCAAUUGCUUGUUCUGCGGAGUUAAGAGAAUAAAUUGGGUAACCAAGACUUUCAUUUAGUCAGGAAGACCCAUUCUUUUGUUAAGCAAAGAAAUGGCUUUGUUUAUCAAUUACCUAUGAAGGAUCAAAGAGUGAGAUCAGGAAGAGAUGAACGCAUUUAGGGGCCUGGCUCCCAGGCUGCACAAGAAAGUGUCGGGUAGUUCCAAGCAAGCUGUUUAACCUUUCAACGACUCAAAUUAGCCAUCCUUUGAAAUGGCAAGCUUAUUAUCGUCAUCAAAUGCAUUUACUGAGUGUCCAACUUUGCACGGUGCUGGGGCAUGAAAAAGAAAGAAAAAAGAUGGUGACUGUGAACUGUGGUGUUGGAGAAGACUCUUGAGAGUCCCUUGGACUGCAAGGAGAUCCAACCAGUCCAUUCUGAAGGAGAUCAGCCCUGGGAUUUCUUUGGAAGGAAUGAUGCUAAAGCUGAAACUCCAGUACUUUGGCCACCUCAUGCGAAGAGUUGACUCAUUGGAAAAGACUCUGAUGCUGGAAGGGAUUGGGGGCAGGAGGAGAAGGGGACAACAGAGGAUGAGAUGGCUGGAUGGCAUCACUGACUCGAUGGACGAGGCUGCAGUGUGAUGCAGUGGGGAUCCAUGAUCUGAUCCACUCAGGGCUCUCCCUGUGGCUAUGAGGAAGCCACUUCUCUGAACCACAGUGUCCUGAGCUCUCAAGAAGGAGGAAAAGGCUUGAAUGCCAGUUGCUCUGCAUCACGGCUGUCGAACAGCUGUCAUCAGCGGACAUUCCGAAGGCAUACAUCUAUUUCUCCCGCCCUUACUUUGAGUUCCACUUUGCACUAUUCUGCUGUUAAUUAUUCCCCUCUAUUCUCUUGUCUAAUUUUGUGUGUCAUUAAAAUAGUUCCAGCUACAUUUUCCUCUUGCUGUUUCUUCGGCUGUAACACCUGUAAUGUGGGGAGACCUGAGUUGAGCCCGUUCGGUCCAAGGAGAACUCAGGUCUCUCACCUCCUGCUCCACUUCACCUGCUCUGUCUAGGGCAGGUGGCGUGUCCCCUCAUACCAGCAGCCCUGCGGUGACACUCUCCCCAUCUGUCUGCUUAUCACCUGACAGCCUGGCCGCCUCAUCGCUCUCCUGUCUGUACAGUUCUAUCGAUCAGACACUCGGUAACCUUGACAGUGUCACUUGAUGUCUUUGCCAUCGAGAGAGCAUCCUCUGGCUCCUGC
This is a long non-coding RNA of Bos taurus (domestic cattle), 1783 nucleotides long. NCBI's taxonomy places the organism in Eukaryota, Metazoa, Chordata, Mammalia, Artiodactyla, Bovidae. The record is from Ensembl.